This 554-nucleotide ribosomal RNA is filed under the name Patelloida striata. RNAcentral describes it as "partial 16S ribosomal RNA". It matches the Rfam family "Bacterial large subunit ribosomal RNA", at positions 1830 to 2601 of the family's 2925-position model. Lineage: Eukaryota; Metazoa; Mollusca; Gastropoda; Lottiidae. The record is from RNAcentral.
CGCCUCCUGCAGACUCAUAGGAGGUAGCGCCUGCUCAAUGCCCUUUGGGGUCAAUAGCCGCGGUACCCUGACCGUGCUAAGGUAGCGUAAUCAUCAGCCUAUUAAUUGUUGGCCUGUAUGAAUGGCUGGACGCUGAUAACUCUGUCUCUAUUGUGCUUAACUGAAUUUAACCUCCUGGUGAAAAGGCCAGGAUACCAUUAAAAGACGAUUAGACCCUGUCGAACUUCAGGCGAACACCAAAGUGGGUUGACCCCCCAACUUGGUAAAACCUUUGGUUGGGGAAACCGGGGACCAAAAAAAACGUCCGCCCAAAACACAAACAACAUCGGCCAGUCCAAUAAUUUUUUAUUAAAAAGCUUGACAAGGCACCUUUUACUUUUUUCGAGCCAAGAAACUCACUUGACUGUGGGAAAAGUUACCGCAGGGAUAACAGCGUAAUCCUUUCGGAGAGACCACAUUAAGGAAAGGGUUUGCGACCUCGAUGUUGGCUUAAGACACCCCAGAAGUGCAGAAGCUUCUAAAGGUUGGUCUGUUCGACCACUAACGUCUUACAU